Candidatus Kaiserbacteria bacterium is the source of this 90-nucleotide non-coding RNA. The record is from Rfam. NCBI's taxonomy places the organism in Bacteria, Candidatus Kaiseribacteriota.
CUGUUAUCGCGGAAACGCGAUACAAUGAAUCUGACGCAGCGUCAGAAGUCAGCUGAGUCAUAGUAUUCGCAAUUCUAUGCGGAAAAGGAC